RNAcentral lists this ribosomal RNA (455 nucleotides) under uncultured bacterium. RNAcentral describes it as "SSU rRNA". It matches the Rfam family "Bacterial small subunit ribosomal RNA", at positions 26 to 518 of the family's 1533-position model. The record is from RNAcentral.
AGAAUCAACGCUGGCGGCGUGCCUAACACAUGCAAGUCGCACGAGAAAGGGUAGCAAUACCUGAGUACAGUGGCGCACGGGUGAGUAACACGUGAAUAAUCUACCUCCGAGUGGGGAAUAACUGAGAGAAAUCUUAGCUAAUACCGCAUAACACUUACGAGUCAAAGCAGCAAUGCGCUUGGAGAGGAGUUCGCGGCAGAUUAGUUAGUUGGCGGGGUAAUGGCCCACCAAGACGAUGAUCUGUAUCCGGCCUGAGAGGGCGCACGGACACACUGGAACUGAAACACGGUCCAGACUCCUACGGGAGGCAGCAGUGGGGAAUUUUGCGCAAUGGGGGAACCCUGACGCAGCAACGCCGCGUGGAGGAUGAAAUCCCUUGGGAUGUAAACUCCUUCGAUCGGGAAGAUAAUGACGGUACCGAGAGAAGAGCCCGGCUAACUCGCGCCAGCAGCCGC